RNAcentral lists this ribosomal RNA (2139 nucleotides) under human metagenome. Its description in RNAcentral is "bacterial LSU rRNA". It matches the Rfam family "Bacterial large subunit ribosomal RNA", at positions 1 to 2004 of the family's 2925-position model. The record is from RNAcentral.
UGUUGCUUGCAAGGGCGUAUGGUGGAUGCCUUGGCAGACAGGACCGAUGAAGGACGUUUGAGGCUGCGAUAUGCCUCGGGGAGCCGCCAACAGGGCUUUGAUCCGAGGAUUUCCGAAUGGGGGAACCCACCGACCGUCAUGGGUCGGUACCGGCUUCGGCCGGGGGGUACGCAGGGAAGUGAAACAUCUCAGUACCUGCAGGAAAGGAUAUUCCGUGAGUAGUGGCGAGCGAAAGCGGAUGAUGGCCAAACCUUGCGCGUGUGAUACCCGUCGGGGGUUGCGCGCGGGGUGUUGCGGGAUCGCGUGCGCCGGCUCCGACGGGCCGGCCGGCAGUUGCAGAAAACCAUGUGUCAGGGGAACCGGGUUGAAUACCGGGCCGCAGAGGGUGAGGGCCCCGUACCUGAACGCGCAUGGUCUGCCGAUCGCGUCUCCCAAGUAGCACGGGUCCCGUGGAACCCCGUGCGAAUCCGCCCAGACCGUUGGGUAAGCCUGAAUAUUCCUGUCUGACCGAUAGCGAACGAGUACCGUGAGGGAAAGGUGAAAAGUACCCCGGGAGGGGAGUGAAACAGUCUCUGAAACCGUGCGCCUACAAUCCGUCGGAGCCCUUUUGUGGGGUGACGGCGUGCCUAUCGAAAAAUGAGUCUGCGAGUCAGUGGCAUGUGGCGAGCAUAACCCGUGUGGGGUAUGCGUAGCGAAGGCGAGUCUUAAAAGGCGUUUGAGUCGCGUGUCCUGGACCCGAAGCGGGAUGAUCUAGCCCUGAGCAGGUUGAAGCGCGGGUAAGACCGCGUGGAGGACCGAACCCACCUGGGUUGAAAACCGGGGGGAUGACUUGGGGCUAGGGGUGAAAGGCCAAUCAAAUUCCGUGAUAGCUGGUUCUCUCCGAAAUGCAUUUGGGUGCAGCGUCGGGUCAUUACGUCCCGGGGGUAGAGCUACUGGAUGCUUGCGGGCCCGUAUCGGGUACCAACAGCAACCAAACUCCGAAUACCGGUGACGCGUAUCCCGGCAGUGAGUCGGCGGGGGAUAAGCUUCGUCGUCGAAAGGGAAACAGCCCAGACCGUCGUCUAAGGUCCCGAAGCGUGUGCUAAGUGGGAAAGGAUGUGGAGUCGCAUAGACAGCCAGGAGGUUGGCUCAGAAGCAGCCACCCUUGAAAGAGUGCGUAACAGCUCACUGGUCUAGUGGUUCCGCGCCGACAAUGUAGCGGGGCUCAAGCACACCACCGAAGACGCGGCAGUAUUUUGUACUGGGUAGGAGAGCGUCCCAUGAGGGGCGAAGCGGCCGUGUGAACGCGCCGUGGACUUCAUGGGAGUGAGAAUGCAGACAUGAGUAGCGAGAGACGGGUGAAGAUCCCGUCCGCUGGAUGACCAAGGGUUCCAGGGCCACGUUCAUCGUCCCUGGGUGAGUCGGGUCCUAAGGCGAGGCCGACAGGCGUAGUCGAAUGGAUGAACGGGUCGAUAUUCCCGUACCGGCUUUCAGCCGCCAAAACCGAGGCUUGGAGUACUAACCUCCGGGUCCGGGCUUACUGCUCCUUCGGGGGCGGGAUGCCCUGGCCUGUUGGGACCGAUCCUUGUAGUAGGUCAGCGCAGGAGUGACGCAGAAGGGUAGCCGGCCGCGGAGGUGGUCUUCCGUGGUCAAGCACGCAGGGCGUGGGACAGGCAAAUCCGUCCCGCAUGGGUCCGAGGUGCGAUGAUGGGGGCCUUAUGGCCCGAUAUCCGGUGAUCCCGGCUGCCGAGAAAAGCUUCGGCGUCAGGCUCGAAGCCGCCCGUACCCCAAACCGACACUGGUGGUCAGGUAGAGAAUACCAAAGCGAUCGAGCGAAUCCUGGUCAAGGAACUCGGCAAAUCACUCCCGUUCCUUCGGUUUAAGGGAGACCCCCGAUGGUGAACACACUUGCUGUGGGAGCUUUUGGGGGUGGCACAGACCAGGGGGUAGCGACUGUUUACCAAAAACACAGGUGCAUGCGAAGGCGCAAGCCGCUGUAUAUGCACUGACGCCUGCCCGGUGCCGGAAGGUUAAGAGGAUCCGUCAGCCUUCGGGUGAAGCGGUGAAUUCAAGCCCCGGUAAACGGCGGUGGUAACUAUAACCAUCCUAAGGUAGCGAAAUUCCUUGUCGGGUAAGUUCCGACCUGCACGAAUGGCGUAA